AUUGAACGCUGGCGGCAUGCCUUACACAUGCAAGUCGAACGGCAGCGGGGGAGAAGCUUGCUUUUCCUGCCGGCGAGUGGCGAACGGGUGAGUAAUACAUCGGAACGUGCCCUGUAGUGGGGAUAACUAGUCGAAAGAUUAGCUAAUACCGCAUACGACCUGAGGGUGAAAGUGGGGGACCGCAAGGCCUCAUGCUAUAGGAGCGGCCGAUGUCUGAUUAGCUAGUUGGUGGGGUAAAGGCCUACCAAGGCGACGAUCAGUAGCUGGUCUGAGAGGACGGUCAGCCACACUGGGACUGAGACACGGCCCAGACUCCUACGGGAGGCAGCAGUGGGGAAUUUUGGACAAUGGGCGAAAGCCUGAUCCAGCAAUGCCGCGUGUGUGAAGAAGGCCUUCGGGUUGUAAAGCACUUUUGUCCGGAAAGAAAUGGCUCUGGUUAAUACCUGGGGUCGAUGACGGUACCGGAAGAAUAAGGACCGGCUAACUACGUGCCAGCCGCCGCAGUAA
Molecule: ribosomal RNA, 507 nt
Filed under: uncultured bacterium
Lineage: Bacteria
Description: partial 16S ribosomal RNA
Rfam family: Bacterial small subunit ribosomal RNA
Source: RNAcentral